Molecule: transfer RNA, 73 nt
Filed under: Mycolicibacterium aubagnense
Lineage: Bacteria; Bacillati; Actinomycetota; Actinomycetes; Mycobacteriales; Mycobacteriaceae
Description: tRNA-Glu
Rfam family: tRNA
About the family: Transfer RNA (tRNA) molecules are approximately 80 nucleotides in length.
Source: RNAcentral
GGUCCUGUGGAGCAACUGGUAGCUCACCGCCCUCUCACGGCGGACGUUGCGGGUUCGAACCCCGUCAGGACUU